UAAUGGAGAGUUUGAUCCUGGCUCAGAGUUAACGCUGGCAUCGUGCAUAACACAUGCAAGUCGAACGGGACUUUGCUUUGUAGCAAUACAAAGUAAAGUUUAGUGGCAGACGGGUGAGUAAUGUAUAAGAAACCUACCUCUGAGUGGGGAAUAACAGUCCGAAAGGAUUGCUAAUACCCCAUAACAUAUUUAGAUGGCAUCAUUUAGAUAUCAAAGAUUUAUCGCUUGGAGACGGUCUUAUAUUCUAUCAGCUAGUUGGCAGUGUAACGGACUACCAAGGCGACGACGGAUAGCCGGCCUGAAAGGGCGACCGGCCACAAGGGCACUGAGACACGGGCCCUACUCCUACGGGAGGCAGCAGUGGGGAAUUUUGGACAAUGGGCGAAAGCCUGAUCCAGCAACGAUGCGUGGAGGAUGAAGGUUCUCGGAUUGUAAACUCCUUUUGAUGGGGAAGAAAAAAAUGACGGUACCCAUCGAAUAAGCCACGGCUAACUACGUGCCAGCAGCCGCGGUAAG
This 516-nucleotide ribosomal RNA is filed under the name Candidatus Avelusimicrobium gallicola. RNAcentral's name for it is "bacterial SSU rRNA". It matches the Rfam family "Bacterial small subunit ribosomal RNA", at positions 1 to 524 of the family's 1533-position model. The record is from RNAcentral. Lineage: Bacteria; Pseudomonadati; Elusimicrobiota; Elusimicrobia; Elusimicrobiales; Elusimicrobiaceae.